RNAcentral lists this ribosomal RNA (514 nucleotides) under uncultured bacterium. RNAcentral describes it as "partial 16S ribosomal RNA". It matches the Rfam family "Bacterial small subunit ribosomal RNA", at positions 28 to 523 of the family's 1533-position model. The record is from RNAcentral.
GAUGAACGCUGGCGGCGUGCCUAAUACAUGCAAGUCGAGCGAAUGGAUUAAGAGCUUGCUCUUAUGAAGUUAGCGGCGGACGGGUGAGUAACACGUGGGUAACCUGCCCAUAAGACUGGGAUAACUCCGGGAAACCGGGGCUAAUACCGGAUAACAUUUUGAACCGCAUGGUUCGAAAUUGAAAGGCGGCUUCGGCUGUCACUUAUGGAUGGACCCGCGUCGCAUAGCUAGUUGGUGAGGUAACGGCCCACCAAGGCAACGAUGCGUAGCCGACCUGAGAGGGUGAUCGGCCACACUGGGACUGAGACACGGCCCAGACUCCUACGGGAGGCAGCAGUAGGGAAUCUUCCGCAAUGGACGAAAGUCUGACGGAGCAACGCCGCGUGAGUGAUGAAGGCUUUCGGGUCGUAAAACUCUGUUGUUAGGGAAGAACAAGUGCUAGUUGAAUAAGCUGGCACCUUGACGGUGCCUAACCAGAAAGCCACGGCUAACUACGUGCCAGCCGCCGCCGUAA